AUGCAGGAAAUGAUUGCAGAAGACGGAAUGUGUCACGACAUUCCAGGGAAAACAGUUCAGGCCGGAGACCGGGACGCUUUCCUCCUGGGGGGGGGGGGGGGAGGGGCUUUCGUUCCUGCAGCUGGCGAGCAGCUUGAGCUGGAACCAAGUGUUCAAGAGCUUUCGGGAGUUCUCUGCCAGCACAUCUGGCCGGAGCCAUCAGCGAAACCCGCGGAGAAGCGCAUUUCACGUCUGCACUGCGGGAGUUGGGGGGGUGGUCUUCUGCCUCCGCGAGCCCAGCUGCCUUCAGGAAGCCUCCACACAGCACCUGCUCGGUGCCCUUCACCCCGGCGCCCCCAAGCCCAAGGCGUCGGCCCCUGCGGGGCACUCGGAAAGGGCGUAUGCCAUCUCUUCUUGCUACCUGGGCUACCUGAACAAGCCCCCUCCGAUGACAUAACUUCUGAACAGUGGUGCUGUAACCGAUCUGCCGUGAGGAAGCUGCUUCCCCUUCAGCAAGGAAAGACCGGAGGGACCCCCACCCCCAUCUCCUCCACGCAGGGCAGGAGGGGUGUGGGCAGCACCUGGAUGGGGGAGAUGGGGCCCAGGGACAGCCCUCUGCAAACUGUGCCUGGGGGCGGAUCAAAGUGCUCUGCACUUGGCAACUGCCGGCAGCAUCCCCUUCAUCUCGGGGGGUUUCCUGUUCAAGCGGCUCGCCCUGCCCACAUGAAGGGAGCGCCUGUUCCGAGGUAUGUUCGCGUGUUUGCGCAGUUGUGUCAUUUACAUUGGCCAUAUGUUAAUGGUAUGUACCCAAGAGCUGGUCUUCUAUUAGAAGAGGGCUAUCCAUCAGUGCUUCUGGGAAGCAUACAAGCGGACAGAGUUUUCAAAGGGCAUGCCUCACUGAACGUACAUUCCUCGAGCUCGUCUAUAAAAAGAUUUUCAGGCACGCAUUCCGCACUUGGUCUUAAUUUUCUGUUGAUUUCCAAACUCGAGCAAACCGCAAGCAGCUCUGUGGUCUUCUCCACCAGGCUGGUUCUGCAGAUGUAGAAGCAGUGAGAGACCUUCUCCUAAAUCAGAAUUACGUGCAGCCAAGGAAGGGCAAAGGGACCGGUGCAAUGCAGAUUUGCACAUCAUCCCGAUAAGCCAUCGUGGGACGGACGUCAGCGCCGCGCUGGUGAGCAGAGUCUGUCACACAGGCAUCUAAGAACACACGGCAUGGGACACGGUGUGCUCUCUGGAGGGGCCUUGCUUAUGGUCGUUGGUUCUCAGCGCAUGAUUUCUCUGCCAACGGAACGAAAGUCAUUCAUUUUGGGGGCCAGGUGUUCCUCACUCAGGCACCCCUUGUUCCUUCAUUAAUGUGUCAUCAGAGCCAUAUUUCUGUGUGCAUUUGGACACUGACUUACGUGAUCCAUGAGCCAUAAAGCCCAUCUUGCUAAGAAGAGGAUUUCCCCCAGUCCUGGUCAUUCGCCUUUCGUCUUCUUUGUCCCCGCUCCCUUGCUAGGAGUAGGGAAACCUGCUUUGCUGGUCGGCAGCUCACCAGUCCCUUCAAGGUGGCAAGCAGGGCGUAGGUCGUAAGCCCUCCGAAGCAGGGGUUCCACCCAGCCCGCCCUAAAAGGGAGUUUGAGAACCGGGGGAGCGUGAGACUUUCGGCAAGCAUCCUCGCGCUUGCUCUUCACACCGAGGGUGCAAGGCAGGCCGCAGCGGGCUGUGGGGUUAGCAACGGGAACCCCGUGGCCUCCGCUCGUGCUGCGGCCUUACAGAGAGUGUGCACGUGUCGAGUGAGCAUUGCACACAGGAGCGAGAGAGUCCUGGCAUCAGGGCACGAGGGCACUCACUGGCGGUGUCCACGCGUUUUCACAAAGUCAACAGCUGCCCCGUACGAAGCUUUGACGAUUCCAAUGUCCCCCUGUGGCGUCUGAUUUUCUUCAAGUGCGACACGGUUUGUCUUCAGAACCACAUGGAGUCCUCCUGACCACACGGCGCUCAGGGGCUCACUUCAUUAUCCUGCGGCCUGAAACAUGCCUUCAAGGCUGAUCGUUACUUUUAACAAAGAAGCUAAACUGUCCACGGCAUUUCCCCCCUCCUCCCUCUCCCUGUCGUUUCCCCCCUCCCCUCCCCUCCUCUUCCCUCUCUCCCCUCUUCCGAGGGUCUCCUAACAGGAGCCCAGGUAGGGAGAAGAGGCAGCUGUCCUGCCUGCUGCAGCGGGCGGGGCCCGUGACGCCCUGGCAGCACACGCAAGCUCGGUACACGCCAGCUGGCGCAUCACUCUUGCAGCCUCGGUGGUAAACACGCAGUUCCAUUUGGUCUCGCGGACUCGUGGGCCGUCUUAAUGGUUCUUUCUGAGUUCGCAUCAGUCACGGGAAGCACCAGGUACAGCUGUUACCGCCUUCUCUGUAAUUCUACCUCGCUCAAAGUCUCCACUGUGUCAUUGUAGCCGGGGACAGGUCAGUGCCAGAGCUGUAUGUCCCCUGAUUCAUGCCCCUUUACUGUUUUCUUGGUGACUUAAAAUCGACAUGAAUAUGUGCUCCAGCUCUCGGUCUUGGUAUGACGUUCCAUGUAGCAGCAGUUAGCAAAUCAUCUAUUAGGAUUCUCUCAGUACUUCCGUGGUGGGGGUGUGUGUGUGUGUGUGUGUGCACGCGCGCACCUGAGGAAUCCGGUUCUCUCGAUACACUCGUGGACAUGCAGACAAUCUUCCCAGCUUUCAGUGUGCAGAAACCGACAUCCUGAUGGGGUUACUGUGUUAUAAAACAUUUACUGGUGAUGUUUAGGAUCAGUCUUAAUGUGAACUGAUAAAUUUCGGAGAAUUUACAUAGUUUCAAUAGGAUACCGCAAAAUUAUUUAGAAAAUAUCUAGACUUAUAAAGUUUCGUGCUAAUAGAGAGCCAGUGCUGUGGCAUAGCAGGUAAAGCUGCCACCUGCAGUGCCGGCAUCCCAUAUGGGCAACGGUUUGAGUCCUGGCUGCUCCACUUCCGAUCCAGCUCUCUGCUGUGGCCUGAAAAAGCAGGAGAAAAUGGCCCAAGUCCUUGGGCCCCUACAACCGCAUGGAAAACCUGGAAGAAGCUCCUGGCUCCUGGCUUCAGAUCGGCACAGCUCCGGCUGUUGAGGCCAUCUGGGGAGUGAACCAGUGGAUGGAAGAUCUCUCUCUCUCUCUUUCUCUCCCACCCUCUUUCUCUCUCUCUCUCUCUCUGCCUCUCCUCUCUCUGUGUAACUCAAGUAAAUAAAUAAAUCUUUAUAAAUGUUUAGUACUAACA
This is a long non-coding RNA of Oryctolagus cuniculus (rabbit), 3226 nucleotides long. The record is from Ensembl. Lineage: Eukaryota; Metazoa; Chordata; Mammalia; Lagomorpha; Leporidae.